UGCAAAGAUGGCUGGUAGAAUUUGCUUACCCAGAAAAUCAUGUGGAAUAAAAAGAUAAGGCGUAAUGAUAUUAACAAGAUUUCUCCAUCCGAUGAGUUUUAUCACAGCAUUUUCCAAGUUCGUACGUAUCUUGUUUCAUGUAAUGGCCCGAGUAAUUUAGCCAAGAUAGAACCCCCUUCCCCAGCAGGUGCAAGGAGUCAGGUUGGUAACAUGAACACAGUGACAGCUGGCAAGAGGCAGGGCUGUGUCUCCCACCGGAGAGGUCAGUCUCUUCGAAGUCUGAACUUUUGCCACCAGUUCAGCAACCUCAUGCAAUGCCAAGGAGGUCCCCUUGAUCUCCUCCAAAUCUCCAUCAGCCUUCCCUCGGACCCCCCCAAAACCCCAGAAAACAUACAGUGUAAGUUAAAGCAUGGUUGCUGUGCCAAUCUAGAUCCCAGUGAAGUCAUCCAGCCUCCUCCUGGGCCCUGUUGUGUAGGAAUCAGACAUCCCAGGCUAUAUCUGACCUCCAUCCCUAAUUGAGGGGUGGGUCACUCAGUUAAAUUCUGUACUGGGUUACCCAAUUCGCCCAGAGACUGAGCCACUCUUACAUAAGAUGUACAGACCAGCUGGUUUAAUGGCCUCGUUACCUAGGAUAUAAGGUAUAGGAUCACUGCCCUCCACCCCCAGCAAGCGGAUGUGGUUUUACUUAAGAAUAACUUUGGAAAUAAGUUUCUCCAGAACAGUUUCGUCUGAACAGGACUAUGAAGUUCCACUGCAUUGCUCUUAUUCCUGACAGAGUGAUGAAAGGGAGUUUAAGCAAGUGGCAUUCUGGAAAACCACCCAGCCUGGUGUGACUUUCAAUACCGGUCUGGUUUGGCUGGGAGAAUAUUUUAGAGUCCCAGAGUUACGCAACUGUGCUUUGUAUACUCUGCUUUGUGGCAGUGAUAGAAAAGGUGUCUGUCUGCCCUGAAUCCCUCUACCACCUCAGGAAAUAGGCUUUUGGCUCACAGAGGGGGUGAGAAGUUGUUUUGAACCACAAAGUCUAUCGAGGGCCUCAGCAGCACCUUGAAGUAAAAGGAUGGGUGAAAACCCAGCUGUUACCCUGGCGUGUGGUCCUGGGCGUGCUGCGUGACCGCUCAGUCUUGGUUCUCUGAUUUGUAGAAUGGGAAUGAAUAUGCUCACCUCGUGAGAUGGCGGUGAUGAUCAGACACUUUUGUAAAGAGACUAGCGAAAUGCCUGGUUUCAUCCGAAGGGAUCAAAAAAUGUUCACUUCCCUCAACUUUUCUUUGCAUUCCUUUCUCCCUUUACAUUAUAGCCAUGCCGUGUACAUUCAGUCGAUGGUCCAUGGGUGCACGAAGCAUAUAAUGUUUAUCCUUAAAUCAACACCUAUCCACGGGGUAGCUAGUGUGCGCAUUACACUCACUUCUUAGGAGGUUUUUAAAAGAUAAGCCCCAUUUUAGAAGGGCCUUCCACUCUCCCCUGGAUGACAGGGAAUAUGUACACAAAAAGACAAAGGACAGGGAAGGAUUAAUGGGAAAACGCUCCCGUUUAAGUAGGAGUUAGCUGAGCUGGAUUUUAGUCCUAUUUCUGACUCCCAAGGUUACCUGGGUAACAAUGAUAAAAUUUAUUGGGGGCUUAAUAUGUGCCAAGCAUUGUGGAUUAUCUCACUUAAUCCUAACAAUGACCUAGUAAAGUUGCUCUUGAUAUUAUCCCCAUUUUGCAGAUGAGCAGACUGAGACUUAAAGGGGUAAGUCACUUAGGUGAAGUCAUAGCAUCCAUCCUGGAUCCAUACCGUAUGGUGGCAAGUCACUUAACCUCUCUAGGCCUCCGUUUUCUCAUCCAAAUGAAAGGGGGAAUCAGAUGACAUGUGAGACCCUUUCUAGCUCUCACUUUCUUUAAUAAGAGAAAUACAUAAAAAAUUUAAAUAAGGUAGGCCCAACGUGCUUUUAAGAGUGACAUGAAGUGGGGAUAGCUGCUUUAUUUCAUGUGGGUAGAAAGACCCUAAAAUAUUUCUUAUGUGUCCUUGCUCUCAAUUUGCCACCCAAUAAGCCAAACAAAGAAAUCCUCCUCCAGUUAAUUUAGAGUCCCGAAGCUAAUUUUGACCAAAUUGGAAGGAGAAGCAGAAGGUGUGGCCUAAGAAAUCCAUGGCUUCCCACACAACAGAUAUACGUGAUGGGAAGUCUGCACGCACACACACUCGCGCACACACACACCGGUGCUCACAUCAUCUUCCACCGAAGCUCAGUACCAGUUUCUCCAGCCCAGUUGUCAUGGCAACACCAGCUGCCAAUGAGAUCAUGGAAGACAAGGUUAUAAUGGCAGUGGUGCCUUAAUAUUUUACCUGGCAAUCUCACUUAGAUAAUAAGAUGAAUAACCAUAAAUCAUAAAUCCAUAGGAAGCCCAGGCACUGCUCUCUGUAUGUGUUUAAUGUGCACUUGCCGGUGGGGAAGAGAAAUGAAGGCAAAGGGAAAGGAAUGGAAAGGAAGGGAGGGUGAGGCAGGGGGUGGGGAAGAUCUCUGAUGCUGAUCCCCGUUACUCUGCAGUGUAGGUAGGUCAUGCACGGGUCCUGAACCUGUUUGUGCAUGGAUUAAAGGACUGGUCUCUUCUGCAAUGACAGCAAGGGGUUAGGGGCUCCCAGCCCUAAUCACAGAAGUGUGAUUACAAGAAACCCAAGGCAACUGUUUUCUGGGGUUCACACCAAUGGAGGAGAGAAGCAGCCCAGGCAAGAUGUACAUGGCAGACGAUGACCCUGCCCUGCAGCAGCUCACACAGUCACCCAGCAGGAGGCUGGACCCCGUUUAGAAGUACCUUGCUGGUUGCCUCCCCAGUCCCUUGAUGCCCACUGGCUUUUACAGACUGGUCCACUCCAGGGCUGUCUGCUGUCCAUCUGAACCAACUUCCUAAAGAGCAAAUCCAUUUGAUUUAAGGGUUUCCUUCCUUUCACAGGAAACUGAUCACAGUGGGGAUCUCUAGUAAGAGCUUCAGCACUGGGGAGCAGGGGUAGGAGAGAGACUCAGUUUACACUGAAUACCCUUGGAGAGUGUGAAUUUUGUAUUACGGGCAUGAAUCACCCAGUCAAAUAAAGGACACGCCAAGGUCCACUUGUUUCCCUUGUCCACCUACCAGGGACUAGACGUGGUGGCAAGAAGGGCCAAGGGCAGGGCAGUCUCCAUGUAAUGAAGCUGAUGAAGGAAAUGAUUUCCCACCAGUGGACUUGUGUUGAUCUGAAACUCUCAUGCAGUCUGUUUCUAGGGCUUUAGUUGUAUGACAAACAGGUUCCAUUCCCAGUGCAAAGGCAGUUUGGGGCUCAGGGGUAGGAGAGGAAUAAGAGCCUGGAGGAUGUCAGAGAGGUUGUUGUAGCUGGCCCUCACCUACUGGCCUGUACCACCUGGUUCCUCCCACCGGUUCAGGAGAAGGGCCACCAGUAGGGCAGGGAGAGGCCACAGAUAUAGAGUGCCAGGAACAGGGAUCAAAAGUCAGAAGACUCACAUUGAGCCCUGACACCUCUUCAGAGGAGACACUUGACCUCCCUGAGCCUCAGUUUCCACUCUACGCAGCAGUGUAAGUGUCCAGGCCUUACAGCACAGUAGUGAGGAUGAAAUAAAAACAUUUCUUCUUGUGGCUGCCUGGGUGGCUCAGUGGAUUAAGCGUCUGACUUUUGAUUUUGGCCCAGGUCAGGAUCUCAGAGUCAUGAGAUUGAGCCCUGUGUCAGGCUCUGUGCUGAUUAGCGUGGAGCCUGCUUGGGAUUCUUUCUCUUUGCCCCUCCCCUGCUUUCUCUCUCAAAAUAAAUAAACUUAAAAAAAAAAAAAAAAAACCUUUCCUCUUAUUUAACAAAUAUUCAUACUCUACUUGCUAUGUGCCAAGCUCUGUUCUAAGUUAAUUUCAUAUGAGACUGAAGGAGGCUCUGUGCUGACAGCUCGGGAGCCUGUUUAGGAUUCUCUCUCUCCCUCGAUCUCUGACCCUCCCUUGCUUAUGCACACUGUUUGUCUCUCAAAUUAAAAAAAUUGUAUUAACGAGACUGAAGCAUAGAGAAUUUCAGUAGCGUGUCCAAGAUCACACCAGAAUCUAGAACGUAGCACAACCAGGAUUCCAACCGGACAGUCUGGGUCCAGACUCCACACACUUAACCCUUUUUCUGUAAGGAUGGGACACGUCUCCUAGUGGCUUCUCCUCAGUUUCUUCUUUUAGUCAUUUCUGAGGGGCUGGAAACUUCUGCUACUAUCUCCUGACCUUUUUGUGGUCGGUUGAUUGGCUCCUGUGUUCGAAUGGGUGGCUUCUAGUUCCCCGCUCUCCAUUUCACACUCCAACCCCACCGCAGACUCCCCACCAAGUCAGAGGGGCUGGACGACUGAAGGUGGGGCAUUCUGGGGGUGAGGCACUGAGACCUGCAAUCAGCUAAGAGUGAGGUUGGGUUUUGAGCCUGUGAGCACAUGUGCCCUUAUAUACACCUGGAAUGACCCUGCCCUCGUCAGUGAGUUCUGGGCCAUUCGGUCAUCCUAGGGAGGCUUGGAAGGACUGAAUACACUAGUUCACUUUUUUUUUUUUUUUUUGUGGGAAAAUGGACUUAAAAUUUACCAUCCUAAUCACUUUUAAGGGCACAGUUCAGUGGUAUUAAGCACGUUCACAUUCUGCCAUCUACCACCAUCCAUUGCCAGAACUUUUUCAUCUUCUAAAACUGAAACUCUGUCCCCAUUAAACAUGAACUCUCCUCCCCACCCCCAGCCCCUGGCACCCAUCACUCUCCUUUCUGUUUUCUGUGACUUUGACUAUUCCAGGUUUCUCCUAUUAGUAGAAAUCAUACAGUAUGUGUCCUUUUGUGACUGAUUUACCGCACUUAGCAUGAUGUCUUCAAGCCUUAUCUAUGGUGUAGCAUGUAUGAGAAUUUUCUUCCUCCGUUUUUAAAUUUUUUUUAACUUAAAAAAAUGUUUAUUUAUUUUGAGAGAGAGAGAGAGCCCAGGAGGGGCAGAGAGAGAGAGAGAGAGAGAGAAAAUCCCAGGCAGGCUCCAUACUGAGUGUGGAGCCUGACGAGGGGCUGAGUCUCAUAACCAUGAGAUCAUGACCUGAGCCAAGAUCAAGAGUCGGACGCUUAACUGACUGAGCCACCCCAGGUGCCCCGAAUUUUCUUCCUUCUUAAGGCUGAAUCGUAUUCCAUAAGAAAUUCACCACACUUUGCUUAUCCACUCAUCUGCUGAGGGACACUUGGCUUGCCUGCAUCUCUUAACUAUCGUGAAGAAUGCUGCUGCACACUGGUGUAUACGGUACAUUGGUCUUUUUAAGACCCGGCUUUCAGUUCUUCUGGGUGUACAGCCAGAAGUGGAACUGUUGGAUCACGUGGCAAUUCCAUUUUUUAUUUUCUUUGAGGAAACUUCAUACAGAGUUCCGUAACGACGGCACCAUUUUACAUUCCCACCACCGAGGCACAAGGGUUCUGAUUUCUCCACAUCCUCACCCAUGCUUGUUAUUUUCUGGUUUCUGUUGUUAUGGUUUUGGGGUGGCCGUCUGAAUGGGUGUGAGAUACAAUCUCCUUGUGUUGCGUUGUUACUUUUUGUUCUGUGUCUUAAAAUCCUUUUUAUAGUUUCGGUGAUAUCUGGGUGCUGCCUCCAUCUUGCGUUCAUGGCUUAGGAUAGUUAAUUACACACACACACACACACACACACACACGCUUACACACAUGCAAUAUUGAAGGGAUGGUUUGCUGCUGACAGAUGAGGUCCUGUGGAUGUGCAUAAUUUAGAACCAGCUCAACUUCUUUUCUGUCACCAGUUUUUUUUUUAAAUUAAUGUUUAUUUAUAUUUGAGAGAGUGAGAUUGAAACAGAGCAUGAACAGGAAAGCGACAGAGAGAGAGGGAGACACAAUCCGAAGCACCAGCACAGAGCCCAACAUGGGGCUCGAACCCAUGAACUGUGAGAUCAUGACCUGAGCCUAAGUCAGACGCUUACAUUACUGAGCCACCCGGGCGUCCCUCAUCCAUUUUAAUAUAUUUUUUAAUGUUUUUAUUUAUUUUUGAGAAAGAGAGAGCACAAGCAGGGGAGGGGCAGAGGGAGAGGGAGACACAGAAUCAGAAGCAGGCUCCAGGCUCUGAGCUGUAAGCACAGAGCCCCAUGCAGGGCUCGAACUCACACACAGAAAUCAUGACCUGAGCUGGAGUUGGGUGUUAACCAACUGAACCACCCAGGUGCCCCUCCCCUCAGCAGUUUUAAUCCAUUGUUGGGGACCAUUGAGUUUCCCUUUGGCCUUUAUCCAAAAGGUUCAGCAACUAAUUUCUUUGGGAGUUUUGGUUCAGUUGGGCUCAUUUCACCCGGUACACAAGGGGGAAAAUGACAACUGCUUUCCCCAACUGAGCUCUCAGUUGCUCAUUUGGCAAAAUAAAAUAUCACAUUACUGGUUUUUCCAUUUUGAUUCACAGAAAUGACAGACCAUAUCAGUAACAGAGAAUGUGCCUAUUUAAGUGAGUCUUAUGAUUAUUGGUCAUUUUUGAAGGCAGAUCUCUUUGCAUUGACAAGGGAAAGAAGUUCAUGAUGUAGCAAGUGGAAAAAAGCAGGCUGCAGAAUAAUAUGAAUAAUUUGAUAUAAUUUAUGCUUGAAUAUACAUAGACAUGUUCUGAAAGGAUACUAAAAAAUUAGCGCCGGCUACCUUUUGGAGGAUCGGGCCUGGGUGUUGGGGUAAGGUGUGAAAUCCUUCACAUUUUACUUUAUACCCUCUGACACUACUUGAAUUUUUAGCCAUAAGCAUGUAUCACAUUUUAGGAAAAUAAAAGGGCUUUAUACUAUUGAUUUUUCUCCUGCCUCCAGCUGUGGACAAACAGCUCUGUCCUAGGUCAGGUUCUCUGGAGGCAGAGCCUGGGGGUGGAGCUUCAUGGAAAGGGACGUGUUGAGGGAGUGGUCUUGGGAAAACGAAAUUGCAAGGUAGGAAAGAGGAAGAAGAUGGGAAAGGAUGUGGCUUCUGAUGAAGCCUGGCCUGAAUCCACGGAAAGCUCUGGACUGUGAAUGACACCACAGAGCUUGACCUGCCCUGAACCAAGGGAGCUGGGCUUUUACUCUCUCUUCCCCGACUCAGUCCUUAGUAUGAGUAACUGCAUAUGUUGGGGGUGGGGACGGGGGUAAGUCUGGGUGCAUCCUGGCAAGCUGGCUGUACUAACCCAGAGUGGGUUUCCGGGAAAGGCUGCAGAUGUGAGCCAUCAGCCACAGCACCUGCUGCAACUGGGGUGCCCCCGUGGGGCUGGCACGGGGAGUCCCAGCGGGAUCUGGGCCACACCUGCUUCCGCCAGUGAACUGGGAACUGAACAGACACUGGCUUCUUUAUAAACAAACUUAUAAGCUGUAAAUCAAUUUGUGAACGCCUUUUUUUUGGGGGGGGCGGCUAUGAAAAAGUACAGGCUACAGGACAUUUUAAAGCUGAAAUAUUCAAAUAAAGAAAUAAAGAGUAAAAAAAAAAAAUGGAAAAAUCCAGUGAGACUGCAAGAUUUUUGCAAUUGUGGGGAAAAUCAUCAGACAAUUGGAAGGGCUCGGAGCUGCUGACCAGGGCCAGAGCUGUCCAGGAAGUGAGUGUUCUAACCUGGGUGUUGAUGGUGGGGAGCAGCUUUUUUUUUUUUAAUAUUUAUUUAUUUUUGAGAGAGAGAGAGAGAGAGAGACAGAGUGUGAGCAGGGGAGGGGCAGAGAGAGAAGGAGACAUAGACUCCAAAGCAGGCUCUAGGCUCUGAGCUGUCAGCACAGAGCCCGACGCGGGGCUCGAACUCACGAACUGCGAGAUCAUGACCCGAGCUGGAGUCAGAUGUUUAACCAACUGAGCCACCAAGGCGCCACCCUCCCCCCCCCUUUUUUUUUCUUCACGGACAAUGUAUAUCUCAUGAUUGAUUGAUCUGCCUUCUGCUUUGGUUGUUGAGAAAAUUCAAAUCUAGAUUUGAAUCCAGGACUAAGUAAUCUGGGGAAGAUAGGCAAAUAAAGGCAGAGAUUGAUCUUGGAGGGUGAUUGGAAGGCCCCAAAUUUCAUCAGCUUCCUUGACAUAUUUAGCCUCCCAGAGGCCUAACCAUGAGUUCCCCUGCUCUUACCAGAUAUGCCCCCCACGAGGCAGGAAAGGCUCCCACCUGCUCGUUCCCCCGGACGACUGGCUGCACCCCACCCGCUCCUCAGCGUAACGAGUUUCACCUCCCUGCCAGCUCCAGAUGUUAUUCAAACAAGCCCAUCGCAUUCUCCUGCCAGAACCAGAGCUUACCCCCCACCCCACCUUAUUUCUACAGAGCAUGACCCCUGAGAUCCCUGGUUGCUCAGUCUGUUUCUCCGUGCAGCCUCCAUGCGGCCCUGCACAGCAUGCUGCAUCCUCCCUGCCGGGCUGUGAAUGUAUGUGACCAGUGAAGCACCAUCAUUCUCAUCUGUCCAGCAACCAACUGUUGUGUGCUCAGCCAUCUCCCAGCAUUUAGGGCAAGGGACCCCUCUCUCACCAAUGGGGUGAAUAGGAGGCAGUCAGAACAGAGAGACAUUCUCAGUCACGAGAUUUUGGUGCCUUUAUUAGAACUUGCCAUAUUUGCAAACCCUUACUACCUCACCUGGGGUGGGACCAGCAUAAAGUGUGAGUUGUCUUUUCUUUGCCUUUGAAACUUUACCUCCAUACAAUGCAGUAAGAAAGUUUAAAAGCUAACUGAUCUAGGGGCGCCUGGGUGGCUCAGCCAGUUAAGUGGCCGACUUCGGCUCAGGUCAUGAUCUCGAGGUCCGUGAGUUCGAGCCCCGCGUCGGGCUCUGUGCUGACAGCUCAGAGCCUGGAGCCUGUUUCCGAUUCUGUGUCUCCCUCUCUCUGACCCUCCCCUGUUCAUGCUCUGUCUCUCCCUGUCUCAAAAAUAAAUAAAACGUUAAAAAAAAUAUUAAAAAAAAAAGCUAACUGAUCUAACAAAGAGAGUGUUCUAGAGAAAACAACAGAAGAUGCAUUUGAGAAACACCCACCUGCUAUUUCACUUCUGUGGGCGAUACCAAGAGGCUGUCUCCUAAGAUGCCAAGAUAAUUUGGCAGCUAUCGUACCAGGCUGACCUAAAAAGUGAACUAUUGAAAUUCGACCUCUGUAAACGAGAGAUUUGCUUUCUUCUUAGUUCCAUACUCAUGAAAAGGGAAAUUGCCACCAGAAUCAAUAAGGAUUUUUAGUUCAUUGUUCUAGAAUCCACCAUGAACUCGUUUGUCCACCUGAGGAUUAUGAGUUUUAUGGAGCAAAAUUUGCCUUGAAC
This 9188-nucleotide long non-coding RNA is filed under the name Lynx pardinus (Iberian lynx). Lineage: Eukaryota; Metazoa; Chordata; Mammalia; Carnivora; Felidae. The record is from RNAcentral.